GUCCCCGUGCGGCUGGAUCAGGUCAUGAGCACCUACCAGGAGCGCUAACCCAACGGAACGUCAAACAGUUCAUUUCGUCCUGCACACAGGACAUGUGUACAGCCGCAUCGCAUCAGAGACGUAAAGGNNNNNNNNNCCAUGACACGCACAGUUGCAGAUCAGUUCGCCGAAACGCUUGCCGCAGCCGGGGUCAAGCGCAUCUACGGCAUUGUCGGCGACAGCCUGAACGGCCUCACCG
This 238-nucleotide unclassified non-coding RNA is filed under the name Hevea brasiliensis (rubber tree). Lineage: Eukaryota; Viridiplantae; Streptophyta; Magnoliopsida; Malpighiales; Euphorbiaceae. The record is from RNAcentral.